RNAcentral lists this ribosomal RNA (430 nucleotides) under Pseudomonadota bacterium. Its description in RNAcentral is "Proteobacteria bacterium partial 16S ribosomal RNA". It matches the Rfam family "Bacterial small subunit ribosomal RNA", at positions 355 to 776 of the family's 1533-position model. Lineage: Bacteria; Pseudomonadati; Pseudomonadota. The record is from RNAcentral.
UGGGGAAUAUUGGACAAUGGGGGGAACCCUGAUCCAGCCAUGCCGCGUGUGUGAAGAAGGCCUUAUGGUUGUAAAGCACUGUAAGCGAGGAGGAGGGUACUGGUAUUAAUACUACCAGCUACUGGACGUUACUCGCAGAAUAAGCACCGGCUAACUCUGUGCCAGCAGCCGCGGUAAUACAGAGGGUGCGAGCGUUAAUCGGAUUUACUGGGCGUAAAGCGUGCGUAGGCGGCUAAUUGAGUCGGAUGUGAAAUCCCCGAGCUUAACUUGGGAAUUGCAUUCGAUACUGGUUAGCUCGAGUGUGGGCGAGUAUGGUAGAAUUCCAGGUGUAGCGGUGAAAUGCGUAGAGAUCUGGAGGACUACCGAUGGCGAAGGCAGCCAUCUGGCCUAACACUGACGCUGAGGUACGAAAGCGUGGGGAGCAAACAGG